AUAUCUAAUACUAUACAUAUAAUUAUUGUGGGGCUCAAAGACAACAAUUAAUGCAGAGCUCAUUAAUACAAAACUUAGCCACCAAGAUACAUUCUUUAUAUAUCCCUCACCAGCCAUAUUUCUUCUGCAUCUCCUUUUCUCCCUCACCGGCCACUUUUCUUUCGGCACUAUCUUGCUUCACCUUGCUUUCUUGCUUCUCUUUCUUUUUCCAUUUUUCUUUCGGCACUUUCUUGCUUCAAUGUGAGCACUCUUUCUAUUUUGCUUCUCUUUCUUAUCUUUCUGUUCUUGCUUCUCUUUCUUUCCUCUUUUUUCUUUGUCAGCUUCUUGCACCUUCUUUUCUACAUUUUAAUGAGCAGCAGCUUCUUGCACCUUCUUUUCUACAUUUUAAUGAGCAGCAGCUUCUGUUUCUAUCUGUAAUAUUGGCAUAUUCUUGCUCUUUUCUCUAAGCUUCUUGCUUCCAAUUUUUAUAUUUUUUUUAUUUCUACCUAAACUUUUCAUUUCUACUCUAAGCUUCUUUCUCACAACUUCUUACAUCAUUUUCUUUAUUUUCUUUCUUUUUUAUAUUUUAGUUUUUUUUGUUUCUAUUUUAUAUAUUUUUUUCUAUUUUACAUAUUCGUUCUUUUCUUUCUUAUAUCUUCAGUUUAAUUUUCCAUCCUAUUUUAUGUGUUUAUAACUACAACUUUAGAUUCUUUCUUUCUUUAUUUUUUUUAUAUCUUCAACUAUAUUUUCUUCCUAUUUUAUGUGUUUAUUUCAGUUUUACAUCUUUAGAUUUCUUUUCUGCACUUCUAAACAAAAAUAGAGCAAAACCCCCCCCUAUUUUCUGCACUUCUAAACAAAAAUAGAGCAAAACAUUACUAUAAUCCCAUAUACAACAAACAGGUUUAUGAUAAUGACGAAAGUGCAAAAACACGUUUGAAAUAUGAAUAAAACAUGCAAAAAGAAACAACAGGUUAUCUGAAUAUGAAAUUUCGAAGAGUUUGCAUGAUAUAUGCUAAAUAAGGUUUAAGUAACUUACUCAGUCAAACAAAGGCAGAUUUCGGAGGUAGCAAAAAAGAAUGAUUUUUUUGUUCUUAUUCUUAAUCAAAAAUAAUUUCAAAGAGGCAGCAAAUAUUUCAAAUGGAUUUGUGUUAGCAACAAGUAAUGAUUUUUAGUUCUUCAUAUGUGCUGCCUCUUUGAUUUUUUUUGAAACAGCAAAGUAAACAAAAUUCCUGCAUUUUCUAUGAAACACGAAAAGCAAGAGCAAAUAGAUCUACGGAGAUCUAAAAAACGACAAGUAACAGUUUCAUGUGUAGAUAUUCAGAGAUCUACGAAAAUGAAAAUCUGAAAAACAAUAAACUAAUAAUGCGAAAAAAAAAUAAGAUGUCUGUAUAGGAAAAAAAAAGAAAAGUGAAGCAAUAUCAUCAAAAAAUACCUAAAUUCGUUCUCAAAUAAAAUUUGUGCCUUGGGUUUUUAAAGAACAAAAUGACAAAAAACAUUGGAGCAUAUGCAGACGAAAAUUUGUUGCUAUUGUUUAAAUGAACAAAAACGAUACUUCAGCAAGAAAAAUUAAACAUGGAGAAAAUUAAAAAAAUUAAAAUUAAAAAACGAAAAACUAAUAAACGAAAAAAAAAAUUAGAUCUUAUUCGGUGUUAAAAAAAACGAAUCUGCAAGCAAAAAAAUUCAAAAUUUAAUAUGGAGAAGUAGGCCGAGAUCUGGAGGCUAGGGCUUGGACGACGGCGGCGGCGUAUCUGUGCAGACGGAGGCAGCGGCGNUACAUUCUAAGAGCAUCCGCAAUGGGGUUACAUGAUAGCUUACAUGAUAGCCUAAUUUAUGAUGGGGGAUCACAUGGUGUAAAGAUGCUGCAGUGGGGUUACAUGAUAGCUUACAUGAUAGCAUCUACUUAAUAUAUAAAAACACAAAAACAAUGCACCAAAAUACACACCCACUUUCCCGCCAAAUUGCAUUUCAGCCAAUAUUCUUUUUUGUCUUAUUUGCACGUGCUUUGUGCUGCAAAAUUGUGGCUGCAAUAAAUGACUCAAUAAAUUUUUUACUGUUCAACAUAUCUUUUUCAGAUUAUUUUUGUACGAUUCCUGACAUAUCUAAUACUAUACAUAUAAUUAUUGUGGGGCUCAAUGACAACAAUUAAUGCAGAGCUCAUUAAUUAAAACUUAGCCACUAAGAUACAUUCUUUAUAUAUCCCUCACCAGCCAUAUUUCUUCUGCAUCUUCUUUUCUCCCUCACCGGCCACUUUUCUUUCGGCACUAUCUUGCUUCACUUUGCUUUCUUGCUUCUCUUUCUUUUUCCAUUUUUCUUUCGGCACUUUCUUGCUUCAAUGUCAGCACUCUUUCUAUUUUGCUUCUCUUUCUUAUCUUUCUGUUCUUGCUUCUCUUUCUUUCCACUUUUUUCUUUGUCAGCUUCUUGCACCUUCUUUUCUACAUUUUAAUGAGCAGCAGCUUCUUGCACCUUCUUUUCUACAUUUUAAUGAGCAGCAGCUUCUUUUUCUAUCUGUAAUAUUGGCAUAUUCUUGCUCUUUUCUCUAAGCUUCUUGCUUCCUAAUUUUUAUUAUUUUUUUAUUUCUACCUAAACUUUUCAUUUCUACUCUAAGCUUCUUUCUCACAACUUCUUACAUCAUUUUCUUUAUUUUCUUUCUUUUUUAUAUUUUAGCUUUUUUGUUUCUAUUUUAUAUGUUUCUUUCUAUUCUACAUAUUCGUUCUUUUCUUUCUUAUAUCUUCUAGUUUAAUUUUCCUAU
This 2728-nucleotide long non-coding RNA is filed under the name Salvia miltiorrhiza (redroot sage). Its description in RNAcentral is "long non-coding RNA (SMIL_LNC006470)". The record is from RNAcentral. Lineage: Eukaryota; Viridiplantae; Streptophyta; Magnoliopsida; Lamiales; Lamiaceae.